UAGGCGCCAUUUUCAUUAGCUUUGGGGGU
Molecule: non-coding RNA, 29 nt
Filed under: Mus musculus (house mouse)
Lineage: Eukaryota; Metazoa; Chordata; Mammalia; Rodentia; Muridae
Source: RNAcentral